AGUCGAACGCUUCUUUCCUCCCGAGUGCUUGCACUCAAUUGGAAAGAGGAGUGGCGGACGGGUGAGUAACACGUGGGUAACCUACCCAUCAGAGGGGGAUAACACUUGGAAACAGGUGCUAAUACCGCAUAACAGUUUAUGCCGCAUGGCAUAAGAGUGAAAGGCGCUUUCGGGUGUCGCUGAUGGAUGGACCCGCGGUGCAUUAGCUAGUUGGUGAGGUAACGGCUCACCAAGGCCACGAUGCAUAGCCGACCUGAGAGGGUGAUCGGCCACACUGGGACUGAGACACGGCCCAGACUCCUACGGGAGGCAGCAGUAGGGAAUCUUCGGCAAUGGACGAAAGUCUGACCGAGCAACGCCGCGUGAGUGAAGAAGGUUUUCGGAUCGUAAAACUCUGUUGUUAGAGAAGAACAAGGACGUUAGUAACUGAACGUCCCCUGACGGUAUCUAACCAGAAAGCCACGGCUAACUACGUGCCAGCAGCCGCGGUAAUACGUAGGUGGCAAGCGUUGUCCGGAUUUAUUGGGCGUAAAGCGAGCGCAGGCGGUUUCUUAAGUCUGAUGUGAAAGCCCCCGGCUCAACCGGGGAGGGUCAUUGGAAACUGGGAGACUUGAGUGCAGAAGAGGAGAGUGGAAUUCCAUGUGUAGCGGUGAAAUGCGUAGAUAUAUGGAGGAACACCAGUGGCGAAGGCGGCUCUCUGGUCUGUAACUGACGCU
This 716-nucleotide ribosomal RNA is filed under the name Enterococcus sp. HGFM108. Its description in RNAcentral is "bacterial SSU rRNA". It matches the Rfam family "Bacterial small subunit ribosomal RNA", at positions 60 to 747 of the family's 1533-position model. The record is from RNAcentral. Lineage: Bacteria; Bacillati; Bacillota; Bacilli; Lactobacillales; Enterococcaceae.